Molecule: ribosomal RNA, 472 nt
Filed under: uncultured Synergistaceae bacterium
Lineage: Bacteria; Thermotogati; Synergistota; Synergistia; Synergistales; Synergistaceae
Description: bacterial SSU rRNA
Rfam family: Bacterial small subunit ribosomal RNA
Source: RNAcentral
CCCGGCACAAGCGGUGGAGCACGUGGUUUAAUUCGAUGCAAACCGAAGAACCUUACCUGGGUUUGACAUGUACGUGGUACGGAUCUGAAAGGUGAAGGACCCGGUCUUCGGACUGGGAGCGUACACAGGUGCUGCAUGGCUGUCGUCAGCUCGUGUCGUGAGAUGUUGGGUUAAGUCCCGCAACGAGCGCAACCCUGCUGCCAGUUGCCAACGGGUAGAGCCGGGCACUCUGGCGGGACUGCCAACGACAAGAUGGAGGAAGGUGGGGAUGACGUCAAGUCCUCAUGGCCUUUAUGACCAGGGCUACACACGUACUACAAUGGCCGAUACAAAGGGCAGCGACACUGCGAGGUGAAGCCAAUCCCGUAAAAUCGGUCUCAGUCCGGAUUGGAGUCUGCAACUCGACUCCAUGAAGUUGGAAUCGCUAGUAAUCGUGGAUCAGCAUGCCACGGUGAAUACGUUCCCGGGCCUU